Molecule: long non-coding RNA, 3201 nt
Organism: Oncorhynchus keta (chum salmon)
Lineage: Eukaryota; Metazoa; Chordata; Actinopteri; Salmoniformes; Salmonidae
Exons: 3
Source: RefSeq, a predicted model, not a curated record
GUAACUGAUCUUGACACAGGUUUUGAUAGAGGUGGUCAGCUAGUGAAGAGGUCUCUACGUAAUCACGUCACGUAGCCUCAUCUAGUUGCUUCCCUACUGAAUUUGAAUCGUGGGAAAGCAAAAUAAGAAAAUUAUAAGAAAAGGCAAUCGAAAUGGUCAUUUUUCAAGACCAAAAAUCCAGAGAAAGAUGGUGAACCAAACCCAAAACGAGCCAGAGAACUGCAAGAGCCGGAGGAGAGGAGUGAGGGGCAAACUAUUCCUGAUGGCGAUGCUAUAAUCCCUCCAGUUCAGCAUCACAACCGGCACCUCCACUAGCUAGGAGGGGAGGGGCAGUGCAUCCACCAACAAAGUACUCGGAGAAGAUGCAAUUUGCUCUUCAAGAACAAGCAAACGUAUAACCCCUGGCUUGUCAUGCAGAAUUCAAAGUUGGGCUGUACAAAUGCACAAAUGUCGGGUCUAGAAAUUACCGGAGGUAUUAAACUAGCAAAAGAGUGGGUGGAAUGUACAGUACAUUAAUAUCCUAUGCAUCAGGCGUAUAAAAACAACAACAAAGAGCCCAACCAAGGCACAUUUUAGCAAGCCUUGUAGACGAGGCUAAAGGGGACAUCCAAGUUAACACUCAAAAUGAAGAAAAAAGGACACUACAAGGCUUUGAGCAGGAAGUUGACUCGCAGGAGUUAAAUGGAUUUGACAUGGGGAGAGUCAUUGUGGCAGGUUUUGAGAACUAAGGGAAAUGGGUCGGUUGGAGAUUUGUCCUUGCCUGAGGUCAUCCAUUUACUGCUGAAGGACCGGCAAGACCUGGAGCUGCUAGAGACCAUACUGACGUCCAGAAGCAACUUGUAAGCACAAACAGAACUUUAACACAUAAGGCAUUUACAUGAAAUAUAUGACAUUGUCAAAGACACCAGCCACCCCAGUCAAAUACUGUUCCCUCUACUACCCCAUGGCAAGCGGUACCGGAGUGCCAAGUCUAGGACAAAAAGGCUUCUCGACAGUUUUUACCCCCAAGCCAUAAGACUCCUGAACAGGUUUCUGUCUGUAAAGGGGGCCAAGAAGAAGGUGUGCAGGGGAGAACUGUACCAGAGCAUCAAGUCUCUGACCAUCAGGCUCAAAGCCAGCUUCUUCUCCCAAGCCAAAAGACUGUUCAACAGCUGAACCCCGGGCUGACUACCACACACUUAGCAUUAAUCAUAUUCUGUACACACUGGAAUUACUAUAGUGUACCAGACCACUGCAAUAGUCAUGUUACCUUAACUCCUGUACAUGCUCAUCAUUUGAACUAUGCUGCUACUAAUGCACUGCGCUGUAUUUGCUCAUAUUACCCCACUCACUAUGCGCAUGAAUAAACAUGGACUUUUUUGAUCUUAUUCUAUUUUAUUAGAAUGUUUUUUUAGUGUUUAAAAACAUUAUUUGUACUAUUACUAUAUUUUAUAUUUACUGUCACUUAUUUGAUUGUUCACUUUUGUCACUAUUACAUUGUGUGAGAAGCCUGCCAGUUCUAUAUGACCAAUACAAUUUAAUUGAAUUUAUUUGUUGUCGCCUGUGUACCCAGAUCCUGAAAUCAUUUCGCCCACACAUAAUAAUUUAAAGUACUUUUCCAAAAAUAUGUUUUCAUGCUUUUGCCAUGACAUCCAAUAUAUAGAAAAUAUAAUAAAAAUCUGUGAUGGGGAGCAGGCAUGUCUCUGGCUUGACACGGAGUUAAGAGGCUUGCCCCAAGGGGCAGCUGUGGUGUGACUAAAAACAUCCUGUCGUGGGCCCUCUAUCUGUUUAGCUGACAGGCAGAUCUGCUGUCACACCGCAGAGCCAUUACUCUGUCCACCAAGUGCUCUUUGGUGGGAAUAUCACAUCUGGCAAUAUCUGAGAAAGUAGAUGGCUAGGUUGUUAAGUCAACUUUGGCUGAUAGUUAGCUGUGUAAUUGAUAUCUAACCAUACAUUUUAUGUACAAGGUUUAUGAACUCUGUGAAUGGCUGGCGUAAUUGUCCUUCCCUCAAUAAUAAGAGCUGAUGAAUAAAGUAUAGACCUACAGAAAGCGGAGACAGUUUUCUCUUCAACAGUAGCAAAAUUGAUUUGCUUGAAACAAUGUUUUUCCCCUGAUUGCAUUUUGAAAUGUUGUGCAACCAGAAAGCAUUUUUCUCUCCCACUAUUCGAGCACACAAAGGAGAGAGAGUGGAAGUGAACUGUCAAUAGGCUACAAAGCAGCAAGAAGUGGAGUCUAGACAACUCUCUGAUUGACCAGUGGGCCAUGUAGAAAUGUUUUGGAAGCCUCUUAUUCAUUCAACCAGUCUGAAUAAAAAAGAAGCCGUCCACCCUUGAUGGGUGAUUAGCAGGACAAUGGAAUCUUGUGGAGAUGAGAACAUGUGACAAGUAUUGAGGGUGCCCUAAACAACUGAAAUUCUGACUAAAUGUGUUGUUCUGACUAAAUGUUUUUAAGAAUGUAACUGUAAUCCAAGAUCCAAGUAAAAAAUGUUUUAAAGUAAUCCAGGUUGAUUACAGUUAUUCUUAAAAACAUCUGAUUUCAUCUAAAAUUUGAUCAGGGUUGGGUUGUAAGAGAUUACAUAUAAAUCAGGAUUACAUAAUCCAAUUACAAAAAUUAAGUAACUGUAACGUUCGUCGUCUUCCUCCUCUGAUGAGGAGUAAGAGAGAUCGGAUCAAUUUGCAGCGUGGUAAGUGUCCAUUUUAAUAAGUCAAACUGAACACUACAACAUACAAAAUAACAAAGUGAAAACAAACUAAACGGUCCUGUGUGGUAACAAACACUAACAUGGAAAAUAAUCACCCCACCACUCAAAAGUGAAACCAGACUACCUAAAUAUGGUUCUCAAUCAGGGACAACGAUAAACAGCUGCCUCUGAUUGAGAACCAUACCAGGCCAAACACAGAAAUCCCAAAACAUAGAAAAAGGAACAUAGACAACCCACCCAACUCACGCCCUGACCAUACUAAAACAAAGACAUAAUAAAAGAACUAAGGUCAGAACGUGACAGUAACUGUAAUCCGAGUAGACUUUUUUUUUUAAAGUAAUCCAGUUACUUAAUUUUUGUAAUCCAGAUUUAUACAUAAUCUGUUACAACCCAACCCUGAUCACACAUUUAAAUACACAUGCAACAACAUUGACAAGACAUAGUAAAACACACACAUACACACUCAGUAAAUCAGGUCAGAGUAUAAGAAAGUACAGAUCUUAGGGCAACAUGGUUAAGA